This 788-nucleotide ribosomal RNA is filed under the name uncultured bacterium. Its description in RNAcentral is "bacterial SSU rRNA". It matches the Rfam family "Bacterial small subunit ribosomal RNA", at positions 8 to 796 of the family's 1533-position model. The record is from RNAcentral.
AGAGUUUGAUCAUGGCUCAGAACGAACGCUGGCGGCGUGCUUAACACAUGCAAGUCGAGUGCGCGGUGCCGUAGCAAUACGGUACUGGCGCACGGCGCACGGGUGCGUAACACGUGGGUAAUCUGCCCUCUGAUGGGGAAUAACCCCGCGAAAGCGGGGCUAAUACCGCAUAACAUUCCUUGGACUCCGGUUUGAGGACUCAAAGCCGUAAGGCGUCGGAGGUGGAGCCCGCGCACGAUUAGCUAGUUGGUAGGGUAACGGCCUACCAAGGCUAUGAUCGUUAGCUGGUCUGAGAGGAUGGCCAGCCACACUGGAACUGAGACACGGUCCAGACUCCUACGGGAGGCAGCAGUGGGGAAUCUUGCGCAAUGGGCGAAAGCCUGACGCAGCGACGCCGCGUGGGGGAUGAAGCUUCUCGGAGUGUAAACCCCUUUCGACCGGGACGAAUGCCCGCAAGGGAGUGACGGUACCGGUAUAAGAAGCCCCGGCUAACUACGUGCCAGCAGCCGCGGUAAGACGUAGGGGGCCAGCGUUGUUCGGAAUUACUGGGUGUAAAGGGUUCGUAGGCGGUGUGGCAAGUCGGGAGUGAAAUCCCUGGGCUCAACUCAGGGGCUGCUUCCGAAACUGCUGUGCUAGAGUGUGGGAGAGGCGCGUGGAAUUGCAGGUGUAGCGGUGAAAUGCGUAGAUAUCUGCAGGAACACCCGUGGCGAAAGCGGCGCGCUGGACCACUACUGACGCUGAGGAACGAAAGCUAGGGGAGCAAACAGGAUUAGAUACCCCCGUAGUCC